Molecule: long non-coding RNA, 262 nt
Filed under: Mytilus galloprovincialis (Mediterranean mussel)
Lineage: Eukaryota; Metazoa; Mollusca; Bivalvia; Mytilida; Mytilidae
Source: RNAcentral
UCAAAAUAUUUAUAAAGCCAAACAAGUACAAAGUUGAAGAGCAUUAAGGAUCCAAAAUUCCAAAAAAAUUGUUCCAAAUACGGCUAAGGUAAUCUUUGCCGUAAAACAAAUCUGAUGGUAAUAUAUUUCUCACUUCAUUAAUUAGACAGGCAAGAUCCAGAGAAAGAUCAGACAGUUGGACAAAGUGUUACCCCUAUUAUUGAGACAGCAUUGUUUAAAAACAAGAACAAAUCUGAAAAAGAACAGACUAGUCAGUUAAAAG